UCUUCCUUGGGAUUGGCUGUUGCCAUGGAUACGCUCUGUGUAGCGGCUAUGAGCGCUGUCUCACAACAAAGCCAAGGAAUCUCGCUGCUGAGGGUUCUGUGCUUUAUUAUGAAGAAUAAUGGACGAUGAUGAUGAUGCAAAGCUGAAAGCAGAAAUAGAAGCUGAAUUGGAUAAACUCAGCAUUUCCUCCUUGGAAAAAGAAGACAUUGAGAGUGAUACAAAAUCAGAAACCCAGAGUGAUGAUAGUGAUACAGAUUCAGUUGAAUUACCAGAAUCAGUUCUUCAUUGUAUUAACAUCAUAAAGAACAGGAGUAAAGCUGUUGAAGAGCUCAUUCUUCAGGACCUGGAAGAUACUGAUAUUUUAAGCUGUAGUUAUGGAGCAGUUUCUAAUAAUCAUAUGCAUUUAAGAACAGGACUGUCAACUGAAUAUGAAGAAAGUUCAGAGCAAUUAAUUAAGAUAUUAUCUGAAAUAGAAAAAGAAGAAUUUAUGAGAAGUAAAACUGAUUGUGCCAUUCCUGAUUUUGUUCCUGAGCCUAGUCCUCAUGACUUGCCUAUGGAUGAACAUGUUUUACCAGAUGAUGCUGAUAUAAAUUUUGGAUACUGUGAAGUGGAAGAAAAAUGUAGACAAUCUUUUGAGGCUUGGCAAGAGAAACAGAAGGAAUUAGAAGAUAAAGAGAAAGAAACUCUCAAAGCUCAGAGGGAUAGAGAAGAAAAACAAUUUCAAGAAGAAGAAGAAAAGCGACAUUGCUGGAUGAAACAAUUUAAAGUUGAAAAGAAGAAAUUAGAGAAUAUUCAGAAGCAAGAACAGGACAAGAUGAAUGAUGAACUCUAUAAAGAAGAGAAAAUUUGGAAAGAGAAAUUUAAACAGCAUGAGGAGUAUAUUAGAAACUUGCAUUUACAAAUGGAAGAAGAAAGAACAAGAUUUAAAGACCAACAAGAAAAAGAAAAAAAUUGUUUGUUAAAACAGAAGAAUAAUGCAGCUGUUAAAAUUCAAGCUAAAUAUAAAGCAUUUGUAGCCUAUCAAAAAUAUGGCCCAAUUAUUAAAGAGCAAAUUGAAAAUAAGAAAAGGAAAGCACAGGAGUGGAAGGAAAAGGAAGCAAAAAUACGACAAAAGGAGGAAGAAAAUCAAAAAAGAUUAGAGGAGGAACAAAGGAUAAAAGAAGAGAGAAAAAAGCAAAAGGAAGAGGAAAGGAAAAGGAGAGAAAAAGAAUAUGAAGAAAAAAAGAAUAUUGUGAAACAAGAAAGAGAGCAACUAAUAAGCAAGGAAAAAAUAAUAUUAAGAGAAGAUGCAAGCCAGCAGCUAAUAAUAAGUAGUGCAUUAAAGGAGAGAGGAUAUAAUAACAAACAUUUAAGUCUUGAAGAUAUUUCAAAUGAUAAAGGUGAUAGAGCCAAAAGUCUAGUGGAUGAAAAUUCAAAGAAGCAGGAAGAUGUUCUCCUUUGGCUAGUUGAGGAAUCAAAUAUGAAAGAAAAUGUAGGUAGACAGACUAUAUUAAAAGAAUCAACACAAGUCAAGUUAAAAGAAUCUAUAGCAAGCCAAACAAUUCUGGCAGAUUUUAAAAUGGAAGAAAAAAAUGAAAACCUAGCAAAAAAACAAUGUUCAGAAGAAUUGGUCAAGCAAGAAAGAAAAUAUGAAAAUACAGAUAACAAAACUGAAUUGGGAAACUCUGAUCUAAAAGGAAAUCUUAAAGAACAGUUUCCGUUGCAAGAAUUAAAGUCUGAUGCACAAAAAGAAGAAAUCAUGAAACAUGUCAUAAAUGAGAAUACAGGACAAAAAACCCAGAUAAUAUUAGGACAUAACCAAGAAAUCAACGAGGUGAAAACCAAUGAAGCGCAGAAAAUAAUCAAAGAUAAUCAGCAGAAAAAGAUACAAAAAGUAGAAAAAGAAGAGAUACAAGAACAGAAUGGAUUAUUAUAUAAAGAUAAGGAUACUUUAGUUAUUUCAGUGAAACAAAAAUCACUCUCACUAACAUCAGAAAAUUCCAAAGAUGUAGGAGAAAAUGUAAUAUUACAAGAGAAAGAAAUUUAUUCAAAAUCCAAAGAAAUUGAGGAGAACCCAAAAGACAAUGCUUGGAAUAGUGGCAUUGUGAUUUUUAACACAACUGAUACCAUGAUAAAUAGAGAAGGCAAAAGAAAUGACCAAGAUUGUGUGUUAGGUAGACAUGCUCCUUGUGAAGGCUUGAGUGACUAUAAUGCAGAAAGCUCCAUGGUAUCUAAAGAAGUCAACUCUUUUAAAUCUGAGAUUAGAAAAAUUUCAGAAAAAUGCCAUGAAAAUGCACCUGAACCUGAAAGCAUGACCUGCUGUGUAUCAGAGUCAACCCUUCUAUAUUCUAUUGAAGAAAAGAGACUAGCCUGGAUAAAAUCAUUUAAACCUUGGCUUGAAAUUUUCAAGCAAAAUCAACAAAAGAAAAUUGUUAGAAGAAAGAGACCUGUGAAAUGCCCAGCCAACAUGACACCCGUUUUGGAUAAACUGGAAAUUCUUCGAUGUGGCCCUUGGGAUACUUUACAGCAGGUUACAACAGUUACAUUUCAAGAUUUGCCAGGCUGUGUUCUCUCUACACUGGCAGAGUGUACAAAUCUUCAGUUUCUAUCCCUUCGACGCUGUGGAUUAACUUCUUUGCACAGCCUGAGUAAUUGUAAAAAACUUAAGUACAUUGAUGCACAGGAAAACCAUAUUGAGGCUAUUGAGUGUGAAAAUUUGGAAAAUCUCUGUGUUGUUCUUCUUAAUAAAAAUCAACUGACUUCUCUUCAUGGUUUGGAUGGCUGUACUAAUAUUCAAUGUCUUGAACUUUCACAUAAUAAAAUUACUCGAAUUGGAUAUUCCUUCUUUCUGGAAGAAGACCUUGUUGACAAUACAGGGGGUCUGCCAUCACUUGGGCACCUCCACUUCUUACUUAUCCCUCACACAAGUCUGGAUUCCAACUGGAUUAUGUUGGUCCCGGAUACCUAUUACCUCACUUACAAAAGAUUCAGAUUGUAAUUUCCUUAUCUCCCACUUAUACUGGAAUUGUGGUUUAGAAUCUUUGAAAAAUCUUCAGCAACUAAUUUUGGACCACAAUCAGUUAAUUAGUACAAAAGGUCUUUGUGAUACACCUACCAUUGUAUACCUAGAUUGCUCCCAUAAUCAUCUUACUGAUAUAGAGGGCGUUGAAAAUUGUGGAUUGCUCCAAAUAUUGAAGUUACAGGGAAAUUAUCUGAGUGAGCUUCCAUCCUUGGAGAAUCUUGUUUUACUAAGAGAAUUGCACUUGGAUGAUAACAGCAUUUCAACUGUGGAAGCAUUUUCUUCAUACUGGCUGCCUUUACUACAAAAUAUUACUAUCUCUCAAAACAGCUUGACCAAAAUUGUACCACUUUUUCAUUUUGUUUCAUUGGAAAAGCUAGAUGUCAGCCACAAUUGUCUUUCUGAUCUUAAAAGUGCCAUAAAAUGGUUUGAUGCAUGCUAUUCUCUCCGUGAAUUGUCUCUCACUGGAAACCCACUUCUUCAAGAAACAAACUGGAGGGAUUCUCUACUUAAAGUGUUGCCUGCUCUGAGAAUCCUUAAUGGCAAUAUGCUAAACUCUAAUUCAGAAAGCCGCAUUGAAGAACACAAUCAACUGGAAUCAGCAGAUUUCCUGGCACUUUGUCAGUCUCAGAUUCGAGAAUUCAACUUGCUAAUUGAAAAUUAUGUAACUGGAAAAGGAGAUGUAUUUACCUUGGAUACUGCAGAAAAUCUCUGUCAUUAUUUUAAGAAAUUGAUGAUACUUAGUACUGAAUACCGACAUGCACACGAACGAGGGGAUGUAAGUAUCACCAAGAAAGAUGAAUCAGAAGCCCAGAAAAAUCAUUUGGCCCCUACAAACAGUGACAGCACUCUGCAAAAUGGAGUCUUCUACUCUUGUGCACAUGAAGGUAAUCCAGACUCACCAGAUAUUCCUGAGAAAUGGAUGGACUCUGUCUCCAGCCACUCCCCAUUAAGCAACUCCUCCACAUGUGAAAAUAUGGAAGGAAGACAUCAGGAAAUAUUAGUAUGUCAGAAGAGAGAAGACAGCAAGGCAAGCAGUAUUCCCACCAUAAGAAUCCCAUUUAAGGAAGUAGUAAUGACAAAUUAUUUGCCGAGGAAUCACCAAAAUAUUGAGCCUAGUGAAAAAAUGUAAGAUAUAUAAAUAAUGUUUCUUUUAUAGAUGUAUGUUUACUACUUUUGAUGGAUGAUAUUAGUCAAUGGUACCUAGUAAUUUGCUGAAGGAUUUAAAUCACAAUCAUAUUUCAUACCGAUUCCAUUAUGUUUUCAUGAGGUGCAUUAAUUAUGUUUUCAUGAGGUGCACAAAUCAUUAAUUAUAGUGCAUAUUAAUUUGAUUAAAUUCUCAUUUAAUUUCUAGUAGUAUUUAAAUGAGUAAAUGUGAAUUUUUUUCUGCCUUGUAAUUUCUAAAUAAUAUGUUUUAAGGAGAAAUAAAAUAUCACACUCAAAAUAAUAAAAACAUUUUGUAAGU
This 4463-nucleotide small RNA is filed under the name Pongo abelii (Sumatran orangutan). RNAcentral's name for it is "retained intron". The record is from RNAcentral. Lineage: Eukaryota; Metazoa; Chordata; Mammalia; Primates; Hominidae.